CCGGCAGCUCUAGUGGUAGCUGUUUUUAUUGGGCCUAAAGCGUUCGUAGCCGGUUUGAUAAGUCUCUGGUGAAAUCCUGUAGCUUAACUGUGGGAAUCGCUGGUGAUACUGUUGAACUUGAGGUCGGGAGAGGUUAGCGGUACUCCCAGGGUAGAGGUGAAAUUCUGUAAUCCUGGGAGGACCACCUGUGGCGAAGGCGGCUAACUGGAACGAACCUGACGGUGAGGGACGAAAGCUAGGGGCGCGAACCGGAUUAGAUACCCUGGUAGUCCCUGAGCGGG
RNAcentral lists this ribosomal RNA (281 nucleotides) under uncultured prokaryote. RNAcentral describes it as "partial 16S ribosomal RNA". It matches the Rfam family "Archaeal small subunit ribosomal RNA", at positions 476 to 754 of the family's 1478-position model. The record is from RNAcentral.